GGGCGCAUAGCUCAGGGGUAGAGCACCGCUCUUACAAAGCGGGGGUCGCAGGUUCGAAACCUGCUGUGCCCAC
RNAcentral lists this transfer RNA (73 nucleotides) under Kutzneria sp. CA-103260. Its description in RNAcentral is "tRNA-Val". It matches the Rfam family "tRNA". From Rfam's summary of the family: Transfer RNA (tRNA) molecules are approximately 80 nucleotides in length. Their secondary structure includes four short double-helical elements and three loops (D, anti-codon, and T loops). Lineage: Bacteria; Bacillati; Actinomycetota; Actinomycetes; Pseudonocardiales; Pseudonocardiaceae. The record is from RNAcentral.